CUUCCAGUAGCACCUUAGAGACCAACUAAGUUUGUUAUUGGUAUGAGCUUUCGUGUUUUGCAUGCACACGAAAGCUCAUACCAAUAACAAACAUUGUUGGUCUCUAAGGUGCUACUGGAAG
Non-coding RNA from Podarcis lilfordi (Lilford's wall lizard), 121 nucleotides. Lineage: Eukaryota; Metazoa; Chordata; Lepidosauria; Squamata; Lacertidae. The record is from the annotation of a GenBank genome assembly.